GAUGAACGCUGGCGGCGUGCUUAACACAUGCAAGUCGAACGAAGCAUUUUGGAAGGAAGUUUUCGGAUGGAAUUCCUUAAUGACUGAGUGGCGGACGGGUGAGUAACGCGUGGGGAACCUACCCUAUACAGGGGGAUAACAGCUGGAAACGGCUGCUAAUACCGCAUAAGCGCACAGAAUCGCAUGAUUCGGUGUGAAAAGCUCCGGCAGUAUAGGAUGGUCCCGCGUCUGAUUAGCUGGUUGGCGGGGUAACGGCCCACCAAGGCGACGAUCAGUAGCCGGCUUGAGAGAGCGGACGGCUACAUUGGGACUGAGACACGGCCCAAACUCCUACGGGAGGCAGCAGUGGGGAAUAUUGCACAAUGGGGGAAACCCUGAUGCAGCGACGCCGCGUGAGUGAAGAAGUAUUUCGGUAUGUAAAGCUCUAUCAGCAGGGAAGAAAAAAGACGGUACCUGACUAAGAAGCCCCGGCUAACUACGUGCCAGCAGCCGCGGUAAUACGUAGGGGGCAAGCGUUAUCCGGAAUUACUGGGUGUAAAGGGUGCGUAGGUGGCAUGGUAAGUCAGAAGUGAAAGCCCGGGGCUUAACCCCGGGACUGCUUUUGAAACUGUCAUGCUGGAGUGCAGGAGAGGUAAGCGGAAUUCCUAGUGUAGCGGUGAAAUGCGUAGAUAUUAGGAGGAACACCAGUGGCGAAGGCGGCUUACUGGACUGUCACUGACACUGAUGC
RNAcentral lists this ribosomal RNA (727 nucleotides) under uncultured Lachnospiraceae bacterium. RNAcentral's name for it is "bacterial SSU rRNA". It matches the Rfam family "Bacterial small subunit ribosomal RNA", at positions 28 to 752 of the family's 1533-position model. The record is from RNAcentral. Lineage: Bacteria; Bacillati; Bacillota; Clostridia; Lachnospirales; Lachnospiraceae.